CCUACGGGAGGCAGCAGUGAGGAAUAUUGGUCAAUGGGCGGAAGCCUGAACCAGCCAAGUAGCGUGCGGGAUGAAGGCCCUACGGGUCGUAAACCGCUUUUGCACGGGGAUAACACCCUCCACUUGUGGAGGUCUGCAGGUACCUUGCGAAUAAGGGCCGGCUAAUUCCGUGCCAGCAGCCGCGGUAAUACGGAAGGCCCGAGCGUUAUCCGGAUUCAUUGGGCUAAAAGGGAGCGUAGGCGGGCGUUCAAGUCAGCUGUAAAAUCGCGCGGCUCAACCGCGCCCCGCAGUUGAAACGGGACGGCUUGAGUUCGCAACAGGCAGGCGGAAUGCGUGGUGUAGCGGUGAAAUGCAUAGAUAUCACGCGGAACCCCGAUUGCGAAGGCAGCCUGCCGGGGUGCGACUGACGCUGAGGCACGAAGGUGCGGGUAUCAAACAGGAUUAGAUACCCGGGUAGUC
Molecule: ribosomal RNA, 459 nt
Filed under: uncultured bacterium
Lineage: Bacteria
Description: partial 16S ribosomal RNA
Rfam family: Bacterial small subunit ribosomal RNA
Source: RNAcentral